RNAcentral lists this ribosomal RNA (605 nucleotides) under Aphanoascus reticulisporus. RNAcentral describes it as "eukaryotic LSU rRNA". It matches the Rfam family "Eukaryotic large subunit ribosomal RNA", at positions 44 to 662 of the family's 3401-position model. The record is from RNAcentral. Lineage: Eukaryota; Fungi; Ascomycota; Eurotiomycetes; Onygenales; Onygenaceae.
CAAUAAGCGGAGGAAAAGAAACCAACAGGGAUUGCCUCAGUAACGGCGAGUGAAGCGGCAAAAGCUCAAAUUUGAAAUCUGGCACCGUUAGGUGUCCGAGUUGUAAUUUGGAGAGGAUACUUCGGGUGUGGCUACGGCGUAAGUCCCUUGGAACAGGGCGUCAUAGAGGGUGAGAAUCCCGUCUUAAGUCGUUUGUCCAUGCCCAUGCGAAGUUCCUUCGACGAGUCGAGUUGUUUGGGAAUGCAGCUCUAAGUGGGUGGUAAAUUUCAUCUAAAGCUAAAUAUUGGCCGGAGACCGAUAGCGAACAAGUAGAGUGAUCGAAAGGUUAAAAGCACCUUGAAAAGGGAGUUAAAUAGCACGUGAAAUUGUUGAAAGGGAAGCGCUUGCAACCAGACUCGGUCAUAGGGGCUCAGCGAGCAUGCGUGCUCGUGUACUCCCCUGUGUUCGGGCCAGCAUCAGUUCUGGCGGUUGGUUAAAGGCCCUUGGAAUGUAUCAUCCUCCGGGAUGUCUUAUAGCCAAGGGUGUAAUGCAGCCAGCCGGGACUGAGGAACGCGCUUCGGCACGGAUGCUGGCGUAAUGGUUGUAAGCGGCCCGUCUUGAAACAC